AGAGUUUUAUCCUGGCUCAGGACGAACGCUGGCGGUGUGCUUAACACAUGCAAGUCGAACGAUGACGAACGGGUGCUUGCACUUGUUUUGAUUAGUGGCGAACGGGUGAGUAACACGUGAGUAACCUGCCCCAUACUCUGGGAUAACCAUUGGAAACGGUGGCUAAUACUGGAUACGACCGAUCACCGCAUGGUGUGUUGGUGGAAAGUUUUUCGGUAUGGGAUGGACUCGCGGCCUAUCAGCUUGUUGGUGGGGUAAUGGCCUACCAAGGCGACGACGGGUAGCCGGCCUGAGAGGGCGACCGGCCACACUGGGACUGAGACACGGCCCAGACUCCUACGGGAGGCAGCAGUGGGGAAUAUUGCACAAUGGGCGAAAGCCUGAUGCAGCGACGCCGCGUGGGGGAUGAAGGCCUUCGGGUUGUAAACCCCUUUCAGUAGGGAAGAAGCGAAAGUGACGGUACCUGCAGAAGAAGCGCCGGCUAACUACGUGCCAGCAGCCACGGUAAUACGUAGGGCGCAAGCGUUGUCCGGAAUUAUUGGGCGUAAAGAGCUCGUAGGCGGUUUGUCGCGUCUGCCGUGAAAGUCCGGGGCUUAACUCCGGAUCUGCGGUGGGUACGGGCAGGCUAGAGUGCGGUAGGGGUGACUGGAAUUCCUGGUGUAGCGGUGGAAUGCGCAGAUAUCAGGAGGAACACCGAUGGCGAAGGCAGGUCACUGGGCCGCAACUGACGCUGAGGAGCGAAAGCAUGGGGAGCGAACAGGAUUAGAUACCCUGGUAGUCCAUGCCGUAAACGUUGGGCAC
This 801-nucleotide ribosomal RNA is filed under the name uncultured bacterium. RNAcentral's name for it is "bacterial SSU rRNA". It matches the Rfam family "Bacterial small subunit ribosomal RNA", at positions 8 to 816 of the family's 1533-position model. The record is from RNAcentral.